GGCAACACUUACUGCUUUGGUCACCAUGGUGAUGCUGGUGAGCCUUCUAAGGGAGAGAGAAUCCUCAGGUCACUUUCCUUAAGGACAGUAAUCAAAUUCUCUAGUCCAGAAAGUAUCUCUGCCUCCAAGAAUCUAGGCUUACACAAUGGGGACUUGGACUUGCGUGAAAUAUUUCUGGGUCUGAAAUUCAAGUGAGAGAAGCGGUCCAUCCUUCUCCACCAAUCAGAGGCUCCCGUCUUAGAGGCAGCGAAGUGGCAUAGAGACUAGAAUGGCGGACCAGGAGUUAGGGAAACCCUCGGUUCAAAUUCUGCCUCAGACUCAGGUGGCCCAAAGCCAACAAGUUUCAUGACUGAGUUCAAAUCCAAAAAGAUCCUGACAGGAUGGAACAUUGGGACAACUCUAAUGAGCAUGACAUUGAUUAUGGAUACAUGUCAAAUCCUUCAGGUCUACUCUCUGUAGAGAAACCUAAAUCUCAAGUCCAGUGACAUUUCUGACUAACCUGAAGAAUUGAAGGAGUUAAGUCCCAACUGUGAUAUUACCCAAAGUCCUAGACUCUGCUAGACGAAAUUAGUGCAGUAGUGUAAGCCAGGGUCUCUUGAAACAACACUCCCUGGGCAAGAUUACAUUAAAAGAAAGCAUUUCUGGCAACUGUGCCAUUUCACCUAAACUAGCCCUUUCCUAAUAGGUGUCUACUAUGUGCAGAACUACUGCAGUAUUACUUUUGUAGAUAUAUCUUUUCAUCAGGAUCUAAAGUCCUUCAGGAAAAGGAAUUGCUUUUGCCUUUGCUUCUUUCCACCUAAGCAGAGAAUCUAGCACAUAAUGUAGGUAGGUGCUUAACAACGUUUAUUGAUUGAGAAAGGGUAGUCAAUCAUGUCAUGGUCAGGGGAAAAAAAAAGCUAAGUAGGAUGAAUAAUGAGAAAAAUCAUGAAACUGAGUAGUGAUGAGGUUAUCAUUAACCCUGGAGAAAACAAUUUCAUUUCAAGUGGUUGGAUCUGAAGGUAACCAGCAAAAGGCUGAAAGAUGAGCAGCAAGUUAGGAAGUACAAGAAAUGACUUGCCCAAGUACCUCUCUCCUAUGCCUAAAGUCCAACUAUGAACCUAGGGCAGAGCUGGAUAUACAACCAAGAUCUCUUAAUCUAGGCCUAGGCUAUUAUUAUAUAGACCUGCACAAAACACAAAUUAUUAGAUGAAAUAGUCAACUUGUUAAACAUUUAUUUCCAAGAACCAAAUGAAUGCGUGCCAAUGUAUAUUAAUUACCUAGAUGUUUUUUGUAAAGUUAGACACCUUUAUGUUCUGCAGGUUAGAAUGACAUAUGCUUAAUAUUAACUAGGCUUUCAAACAAAUCGUAAAACAGUAUGAAUCACACCUUUGUAGUGUCAAAUAAAUUAAUGGCAACAACACAGUGAAUGACUAUGCAUAAUGUUUUAAUUGUGUAAAACUGUUUUUUUAAAAAAGGCAAAGGUGGGGGAAUGAAAACUCUCCCAAACUCUAGUAGUAGCCCAGGAAAUUCCACAUUUUAAGUAUAUGCUAUAUACCAAGUGCUAUCAUUUAAAAAUUGCCAUUUACUGAUGACAGGCUAUUAAACAAAAUCUAUGAAAGAACUAAUUCAAGGCCUGAGCUCUCUGUGAAGUAUCAUUCUCUAUCAGACCAACCUACC
Long non-coding RNA from Monodelphis domestica (gray short-tailed opossum), 1656 nucleotides. RefSeq lists it as uncharacterized. The record is from RefSeq and is a predicted model, not a curated record. NCBI's taxonomy places the organism in Eukaryota, Metazoa, Chordata, Mammalia, Didelphimorphia, Didelphidae.